GCAUAUCAAUAAGCGGAGGAAAAGAAACCAACAGGGAUUGCCUCAGUAACGGCGAGUGAAGCGGCAACAGCUCAAAUUUGAAAUCUGGCUCCUUCGGGGCCCGAGUUGUAAUUUGCAGAGGAUGCUUCGGGUACGGGUUCCUUCCGAGUUCCCUGGAACGGGACGCCAUAGAGGGUGAGAGCCCCGUCUGGUAGGACACCCAGCCCGUGUGAAGCUCCCUCGACGAGUCGAGUAGUUUGGGAAUGCUGCUCUAACGGGAGGUAUACUCCUUCCAAGGCUAAAUACCGGCUGGAGACCGAUAGCGCACAAGUAGAGUGAUCGAAAGAUGAAAAGCACUUUGAAAAGAGAGUCAAAUAGCACGUGAAAUUGUUGAAAGGGAAGCGCUCGCUACCAGACAUGGGUUCGGCGGUUCAACCGGGGCCACGCCCCGGGGCACUCCGCCGGCCCAGGCCAGCAUCAGCUUUCCGUCGGGGGCAAAGACGUCGGGAAUGUGGCUCCCCUCCGGGGGAGUGUUAUAGCCCGGCGUGUCAUACCCUUCGGGGGGGCUGAGGUACGCGCUUCUGCAAGGAUGCUGGCGUAAUGGUAGCUAGUGACCCGUCUUGAAACACGGACCAAGGAGUCAACCUUAUGUGCGAGUGCCCGGGCGUAAAACCCCAGCGCGGAAUGAAAGUGAACGUAGGUGAGAGCUUCGGCGCAUCACCGACCGAUCCUGAUGUCCUCGGACGGAUUUGAGUGAGAAGCAUAUAGGGUUGGACCCGAAAGAAGAUGAACUUAUGCGUGUGUAGGGUGAAGCCCAGAGGAAACUUCUGGUGGAGGCUCGCAGCGGUUCUGACGUGCAAAUCGAUCGUCAAACAUGCGCAUGGGGGCGAAAGAACUAAUCGAUCUUCUGGUAGCUGGUUCCCCCGAG
RNAcentral lists this ribosomal RNA (907 nucleotides) under Gibellulopsis nigrescens. RNAcentral's name for it is "LSU rRNA". It matches the Rfam family "Eukaryotic large subunit ribosomal RNA", at positions 38 to 965 of the family's 3401-position model. The record is from RNAcentral. Lineage: Eukaryota; Fungi; Ascomycota; Sordariomycetes; Glomerellales; Plectosphaerellaceae.